This 6350-nucleotide long non-coding RNA is filed under the name Citrus maxima (pomelo). RNAcentral's name for it is "long non-coding RNA (CMAX_LNC003704)". The record is from RNAcentral. Lineage: Eukaryota; Viridiplantae; Streptophyta; Magnoliopsida; Sapindales; Rutaceae.
UUUACUUCCCUUAAUAUCAAUGUUUUGCACUUAAUAAUAGUGAUUUACUUGUGUUUUACUUUUGUAGGUGCAAUUCUAUUGAUUGAUGAUAAAAUUGAGCUAUAAGAUGAUGUUUAAGGAUGAUUGUUCUCUUGGAGAAAUUAUGAGCGUCAGAAGAACUUUGUUGAUAAGGCGUGGGCGCGUGCUGUCAACUGCGGACCUGCAGUUUUAGUUUAACGUGUUUUGUAUUUUUGGUUAUUUUUGUAAUUACGAAUUUAAUAUUUCAGAUAUUAGGAUUUUAUUUUAAAUAGAAUUCUAAAAGAGAAGAGAGAGAGAGUAUUUAAGGGAGGAAUCUAUUGUGAAAAAGGGGGGAUUUUGGAUUGGAGAAAAAGAAAGAAACCCUAGAUCUUAAUUUUUCUCUUCUCUCUAUGAAGAACUAAACCUAUUUUUCUGGUUGAAGGAUAAUGAAGCUUUGAUUCAUCACUACUGUGAGAUCUUUCUUGUGCUUUAAUUGUUUUAUUGCUUUUUGGGUAUUUGUUUAUUCUCUGAAUUAUUUUCAUGAUUAUGUUUGUUAAUUAGGUAAUUGGCCACUAUUUAAUUAUCAACUUAAUCUAUUGUCAAUUAAAGGAUUCAUCGUAUGAAGAAUUUAAUGUUUGUGACAAAUAACAUAGCAGAGAGUUGUGUUGUGAGAAUAAACAAUCUAAUUUAAAUGAAUCAUCAUAUGUGUUGAUUAGGAUUUGGGUCUCUCUGGUUUUUCAGGCUUUCAAUUGAUUAAAUCCUAUGAUCGUAUCUAGGGUUGUCCAUUGAUUAGGGAAAUAACCAACGGUCGUACCUUGGUUAUCAACUAGUUAAGGAGAGAUUGGCUAUUAGAGGGUCUCAAUAGCUAUAACCGGUCUAUUCAUAAGUAAUAAUAAUCUAUAUUUGAAUCAAUGAUCAGUAGUCGAAUCAAGCUGAGUUAAUUCCUUCAACCAGAGCUUUCUCCAAUUUGAAUUACAACUUUAAUUUGUAUUCUUGUUAUUUCAAUUUGAUUUUUAUUAUUGUCAACAAUUCCCCCAUUUUACGUUUUACGUUUCAAAAGGAUUUAAAUAAUUACCGAUCUCUGUGGACACGACCCUGCUCAAUCACUAUACACAAUUUAUUUAGAGUAGGAAUUUAUUUUUGUUGGCUUCGACAACCAUCAAAUUUUGGCGCCGUUGCCGGGGAUUGGUGUCAUUUAUUUAAUCAUUUUUACGUUUUACUUGGUGUAUGGUUCGUUCUUCUCAUACAGGUACACUUUCGUUUGAUCCUGAAAUUGAGAAGACAGCUCGCCAGCUGAGACAGCAGACGAAGCGAGCUAAGCAACGAUCCUCGUCGCCUUUGCUUUCUGAAACAGAUACAGUGCAUGAUUUAGUUGAAUCAUCUAGUGAUUCAGAAGAACAAGUGAUGGAUAGACCUGCACCUGUAGAAAGAACUCUUACAGAGUUAGCUGAACCAGACUUGAAUCAGCAACCACUCUGCAUUCAAUAUGUAGAUUUGGAGGUAAAUUUUGAAUUAAAGUCUGGUCUUAUUCAUUUAUUACCCAAGUUUCAUGGUUUUGCAGGUGAAGAUCCUCAUAAACAUCUUAAGGAGUUUCAUGUUGUGUGCUCAAGUAUGAGGCCACAAGGCAUGACUGAAGAGCAGAUUAAGCUGCGUGCUUUUCCAUUCUCUUUAGAUGGGUUAGCUAAAGAUUGGUUGUACUACUUGCCUCCUGGAUCAAUUACAACGUGGAAUGGUUUGAAGAAGCAGUUCCUCGAGAAGUACUUUCCUGCUUCAAGAGCUGCCAACAUCAGAAAAGAUAUUUGUGGGAUCAGACAACUUCCUGGGGAGACUUUGUAUGAGUAUUGGGAGCGAUUCAAACAAUUGUGUGCCAGUUGUCCUCAGCAUCAGAUUUCUGAUCAACUUCUUAUUCAAUAUUUUUACGAAGGACUGUCAUUGAUGGAUAGGAGUAUGAUAGAUGCUGCUAGUGGAGGCGUGUUGGUGAACAAGACCCCUACUCAAGCAAGGGAGUUGAUAUCAAAUAUGGCUGCCAACGCACAACAAUUUGGCAGCAGGCAAGAUCCCAUUUUAAGGAAGGUGAAUGAGGUAAAUAUUUCUUCUGUUGAACAACGUUUAGAUAAACUUACUUCUCUUGUGGAAAAUUUUGUUGUAGGUAAUGUGCAACAGGUGAAGACUUGUGGUAUUUGUUACAAUAUGGGUCAUUCAACUGAUAUGUGUCCUACACUUCAAGAAGAACCCAUUGAACAAGCUAAUGCAGUUGGAGGAUUUCCAGGCAUGCCUCAGAGGAGGUAUGAUCCUUAUGCACAAACAUACAAUCCGGGAUGGAAGGAUCAUCCCAACUUCAGCUAUGGAGUUAGGCCGUCAGGAUUCCUACAACAGUAUCCACCAAGACAACCAACACCUCCACAGUCAAACUCCAAGUCAGGUAUAUCUCUUGAAGAAAUUGUUAAAUCACUUGCGACUAACACUCAACAAUUUCAGCAGGCAACUACAGCAAGCAUUCAGAACUUGGAGAACCAAAUGAGUCAAUUGGCGACUACAGUGAGCCGUCUGGAGUCUCAAGUAUUAGGGAGAUUGCCUUCACAAUCUGAGGUGAAUCCAAAGGAAAACGUUAGUGCUGUCAUCCUUAGAAGUGGGACGGAGUUGUAAGAGCCUAGUAAGAAAGUGACAAAGCAUGUAGAAGAUGAGCUUGAGAAGAAUGAAUUGAUGCCUCAAUCUCAAGAUGCACAACCCACCAGAGCGAAACCCCUACUUAUUGUGAUACCUCCUCAUUUUCCAAGCCGGUUUGCAAAAUCCAAGAAGGAGGAACAAGAUAAAGACAUCCUUGAGACAUUUCGCAAGGUUGAGGUAAAUAUUCCUUUGUUAGAUGCUAUAAAACAAAUACCUCGAUAUGCUAAAGUCCUUAAGGAACUGUGCACCUCCAAGAGAAAAUUAAGAGGAGAUGAAAAAGUUCACAUGGGGGAGAAUGUUUCAGCAGUUCUCCAAAAGAAACUACCUCCUAAGUGCAAGGAUCCAGGUAUGUUUACUAUCCCUUGUAAAAUUGGUAGUGUUAGAGUUGAAAAGGCUAUGUUAGAUCUAGGAGCUUCUAUUAAUGUCAUGCCUCGUUCCAUUUAUUCAUCUUUGAAUGUUGGUCCAUUAAAAGAAACCGGCGUGAUAAUUCAACUAGCUAAUAGGUCUAAUGCAUAUCCUGAUGGGGUAUUAGAAGAUGUCUUAUUACAAGUUAAUGAGUUGGUUUUUCCUGUUGAUUUUUAUGUACUUGAUAUGGAAGAUGAUAACUCCUCUAAUUCUGUCCCAAUUUUGCUAGGAAGACCUUUUCUUAAGACUGCUAGGACUAAAAUGGAUGUACAUAAAGGGACUCUCACUAUGGAGUUUGAUGGAGAGGUUAUAGAAUUCAAUAUGAAUGAUGCCAUGAAAUAUCCUAGUGAGGAACAUUCAGUAUUCUCUAUGGAUGUUAUUAACCCUAUAGUGCAGGAAGUUUUUUACAAGAAAAAGACGAAGACAUUUCAUGAUAGAAUGAUUUUGAGAAAGGAGUUCUCUGUUGGUCAAAAAGUUCUUCUUUUUCAUUCUAAGCUUAAACUUUUUCCGGGUAAAUUACGUUCUUGCUGGGUUGGACCUUUUAUUGUUACUAAUGUUUUUCCUCAUGGUGCAGUUGAAAUUCGGAGUCCGACCUCUGACAAAGUUUUUAAGGUUAAUGGUCAUCGCUUAAAACCUUUUUAUGAAGGUUUUUCGGUGAAUAUUGUGGAGGAUGUGGCUCUCGAGAGUCCCAAUUAUGGAGAUUGAUGCAUAAAUGUGUCUAGCCAAAGACAUAAAACAAAGGCGCUUUUUGGGAGGCAACCCAAAUGAUUUAUUUAUUUUGGUUUUUGUUAUAUCUUCUUUUAAUUUUGAUUCAGAUUUAAAAAAAAAAAAAAACAAUGUAUUUAUUUAUUUAUUUAUUUUUUCCAUAUUUUCUUUCUUAUAUAUAUAUAUAUAUAUUUUUAUUUAAAAAAAACGAAAAAAAAAACACAAAUAUCACAAAUCACUGUUCACAAAUCCCUAAUUCAAAAAAAAAAAAAAAUUUCACUGUUGAUUAUCUUUUUCACCUGCAGCAACCAGCAACCAGCAGCCGCAGCCUAAGUAGCGAGCAGCAACACGCGCGCGCAGAUUCAGUUCCACCCGCAGCGCGCAGUAUCCCACAACGCAGCCCCAGCAGCACGAAUCAGCGUCACCAAUGCAACCAGCCCGCGCGCAGCAAGCUCCAGCGAUCACCAUCGCGCAACACAAUCAGUGCCAUCCCGCGUCCAUCAAGCAAGCUCCAGCCGAGCAGCAAUCGCAACGCAACCAGCCUACGACCUGCAUUCCAGGCGCGUGAAUCGAAAUCCGUGACAAGAUGGAGCAGAAUUUGGCCGCAUACUUCAAGAGUGUGGGAUUUAUCCCACCAUUCCCGCCAAGCCCAUAGACGUUAUGAGGAUCAAAGCUCACAAUUCAGGGAAGUUUUUGCCUUUAAUCUUUUAUCCUUACGUUUUAAUUUUUAUGUGAGCUUUGAUUAUCUUACAUUGGGGACAAUGUAAGUUCUUGGUGUGGGGGAGGGAUUUUUGCAUUAUUGAUGUCUGGAAUUAUUGUUUUCACUCUACUCAUCUAUUUUCACUCUACUCAUCCUUAAAUGAUUUUGGAGUUAGUAUGCUUCAUAUAUUAUUAAUUUUCUUUUCCUCUCUCUCUCACUACUCUUUUCCCAUCUAUCUCAAAUUAUUUACAUCUAUUUUUAUUCUAUCAUACUCUUUCAUCACUCACAUUUUAUCUUUCACUUUUCAUAUUACUACAUACAUCUUUCUCACUUCUUAUCAUUUUUACCUUUUCUUUUAUAUAUCACUCAUACCUUCUUCUCAUUCUACACCACUAUUGAUGGUUGAUUCAUUUGAAGAGUGUACAUGAUUUGAUGGCAAAUUUACCAACUUUGUGAGGAUUUGAGCCUAUGAGCAACCACUUUGCUCUAAUAUUUUUGUUGUGUGAAUAUCAAUCUUAGUUUGUUUAUUCUAGAACUUGCUUUGUUAUGCAUGUUGAAGCCGCAUUACGGGAUUUUAUGCAUUAAAAUGAUAAGGGCAAACCCUUUUCCAUUUUUCUAUUCUCGCAUUUUUUUUUCUCUACCCGAAGACCUUUAUUUGCUAUCUUUGUUUGAGCCUUAACCAUUACCCAUCUAAUUUUCUCCGUCUACUUAACCAUUUUUCUUCUUUUUGAGCCUUAAUUUAAGGAGAUUUUUGGACUCAUUGUGUGGAUAUAUUUUGUUGCUUUUUCUACCUUGUAAUAAAGUUUCUCAAUUAGAUCAACAAGCAUUAUGCUUGAAUUAAAUUGUGCAAGGUUCGUUUCUUUUGUUUGAUUCAAAAACAAAAAAAAAAAGAAAAAAAAACAACAUAAAAAAGAGAAAAAAAAAGAAAAAGAAAAAUAAAAAAAAAGAAAAAAAAAUGUUUACAUUCUUGGUGAUUUGAGUAGAAAUAAGCAUUUUGAUAUCAUAAGUUCAUUCAAUGAGUUCAUUCUUCUCAUUUUGAUCUCUUUUUCUUUCGUAAACCUUUCUUUUUCAUUCAACCUAUUUAACCCCAUUACAACCCUUUUAAGACCCUUAGAUUUUUGCAUUUUAUUCAUGUUUUGUGGAUUGAGAUGUGAUAUAUGAGCAAGCUUAUGGUAAUAGCAUUCUUUGAUUUGAUUUGAGUGAAUAAAUGACACCCUAAACACUUUGAGUGCAUGGAGUGAAGUUAUUGAGAGGGCUAUUAAAUCUUGUUGCACUUGAAUUUUGAAUGGAUCUUCUUGGUGGUUGAAUGUUCUUAUUCUAUCUUAUGAAAUUCUAUGCUUUAAAAUCCUUCUCUCGAAUGUUGAUCGACUUAAUUUCUUGAGGUAUGCUUGCUUAAAAUUGUUUUUGGAUGAGUUGAGAUGAGAAUUGAGUGGAGAUUUGAGAUUAAUCUUGAGCUAUAUGCUUGAGGACAAGCAUCAUCUUGGUGUGGGGGAAUAUGUUAGAGUGCAAUUUAUGCACUAGUUUUGCAUUAUUUACUUCCCUUAAUAUCAAUGUUUUGCACUUAAUAAUAGUGAUUUACUUGUGUUUUACUUUUGUAGGUGCAAUUCUAUUGAUUGAUGAUAAAAUUGAGUUAUAAGAUGAUGUUUAAGGAUGAUUGUUCUCUUGGAGAAAUUAUGAGCGUCAGAAGAACUUUGUUGAUAAGGCGUGGGCGCGUGCUGUCAACUGCGGACCUGCAGUUUUAGUUUAACGUGUUUUGUAUUUUUGGUUAUUUUUGUAAUUACGAAUUUAAUAUUUCAGAUAUUAGGAUUUUAUUUUAAAUAGAAUUCUAAAAGAGAAGAGAGAGAGAGUAUUUAAGGGAGGAAUCUAUUGUGAAAAA